UGACCAGAACGGAUGAUCGCCGGCGCGAUGCGCGGGAGGAAAGUCCGAGCUCCGCAGGGCAUGGUGCUGGUUAACGGCCAGUCGGGGUGACUCGAAGGAAAGUGCCACAGAGAGCAGACCGCCGUGUUACGGCGCGGUAAGGGUGAAAGGGUGCGGUAAGAGCGCACCGGGGGCAUGGUGACAUGCCCCGCAUGGUAAACCCCACUUGGAGCAAGACCGUUUCGAGGUACUUCGCAUCGACGAAGUCCGGGUGCCCGUCCGGUAGCCUCGGGUCAGGUCGCUAAAGGGGCGUGGUAACACGUCGCCGUAGAUGAAUGACCAUCCCCCACGUUCGGGCGACCGGCGUGGGUGACAGAACUCGGCUUAUGGGCUGGUCGGAGA
RNAcentral lists this RNase P RNA (381 nucleotides) under Pseudomonadales bacterium. Its description in RNAcentral is "RNase P RNA component class A". It matches the Rfam family "Bacterial RNase P class A". From Rfam's summary of the family: Ribonuclease P (RNase P) is a ubiquitous endoribonuclease, found in archaea, bacteria and eukarya as well as chloroplasts and mitochondria. Its best characterised activity is the generation of mature 5'-ends of tRNAs by cleaving the 5'-leader elements of precursor-tRNAs. The record is from RNAcentral. Lineage: Bacteria; Pseudomonadati; Pseudomonadota; Gammaproteobacteria; Pseudomonadales.